CCUACGGGUGGCAGCAGUGGGGAAUAUUGCACAAUGGGGGAAACCCUGAUGCAGCGACGCCGCGUGAGUGAAGAAGUAAUUCGUUACGUAAAGCUCUAUCAGCAGGGAAGAAAAUGACGGUACCUGAGUAAGAAGCCCCGGCUAACUACGUGCCAGCAGCCGCGGUCAUACGUAGGGUGCAAGCGUUAUCCGGAUUUACUGGGUGGAAAGGGAGCGCAGACGGUGAGACAAGUCUGAAGUGAAAGCCCGGGGCUCAACCCCGGGACUGCGUUGGAAACUGCCUGACUGGAGUGCUGGAGAGGCAAGCGGAAUUCCUAGUGUAGCGGUGAAAUGCGUAGAGAUUAGGAAGAAUACCAGUGGCGAAGGCGGCUUGCUGGACAGUAACUGACGGUGAGGCUCGAAAGCGUGGGGAGCAAACAGGAUUAGAUACCCCGGUAGUC
RNAcentral lists this ribosomal RNA (440 nucleotides) under uncultured bacterium. Its description in RNAcentral is "partial 16S ribosomal RNA". It matches the Rfam family "Bacterial small subunit ribosomal RNA", at positions 338 to 795 of the family's 1533-position model. The record is from RNAcentral.